This 70-nucleotide transfer RNA is filed under the name Glyphoglossus yunnanensis (Yunnan squat frog). RNAcentral's name for it is "tRNA-Arg". It matches the Rfam family "tRNA". Rfam says of the family: Transfer RNA (tRNA) molecules are approximately 80 nucleotides in length. Their secondary structure includes four short double-helical elements and three loops (D, anti-codon, and T loops). Further hydrogen bonds mediate the characteristic L-shaped molecular structure. tRNAs have two regions of fundamental functional importance: the anti-codon, which is responsible for specific mRNA codon recognition, and the 3' end, to which the tRNAs corresponding amino acid is attached (by aminoacyl-tRNA synthetases). tRNAs cope with the degeneracy of the genetic code in two manners: having more than one tRNA (with a specific anti-codon) for a particular amino acid; and 'wobble' base-pairing, i.e. permitting non-standard base-pairing at the 3rd anti-codon position. The record is from RNAcentral. Lineage: Eukaryota; Metazoa; Chordata; Amphibia; Anura; Microhylidae.
GGGGGGCUAGUCUAAAGUAAGACAGUUAAUUUCGGCUUAACUAAUUAUGGUUUAACCCCAUAGUCCCUCU